GCUUGUGUGGCUCAGUGGUAGAGCAUCAGCCCUUGGACCAAAGGGUCACUGGUUCAUUCCCGGUCAAGGGCA
RNAcentral lists this transfer RNA (72 nucleotides) under Myotis brandtii (Brandt's bat). It matches the Rfam family "tRNA". From Rfam's summary of the family: Transfer RNA (tRNA) molecules are approximately 80 nucleotides in length. Their secondary structure includes four short double-helical elements and three loops (D, anti-codon, and T loops). The record is from Rfam by way of RNAcentral. Lineage: Eukaryota; Metazoa; Chordata; Mammalia; Chiroptera; Vespertilionidae.